GCGGCGAGUAGAUCGGCGACCCAUCCGACCCGUCUUGAAACACGGUCCAAGGAGUUCUACAUGUGAGCGAGUGAUUGGGUGUCGAGAGACCCAAACGCACAAUGAAAGUGAAGGCCCGGAUUGCCGAGCCGAGGGGCGAUCCCGUUUCGGCGGGCGCAGCCCCGGGACGCGCCGUUCGCCUCGUCGACGGCUCGUACCCAGAGCGUACACGUUGGGACCCGAAAGAUGGUGAACUAUGCUUGGCCAGGACGAAGUCAGAGGAAACUCUGAUGGAGGUCCGUAGCGAUUUUGACGUGCAAAUCAAUCGUCCGAGCUGGGUAUAGGGGCGAAAGACUAAUCGAACCAUCUAGUAGCUGGAUCCAUCCGAAGUUUCCCUCAGGAUAGCUGGCGCUCGCANGACCGAGUUUCAUCCGGUAAAGCGAAUGAUUAGAGGCCUUGGGGCCGAAACGANCUCAACCUAUUCUCAAACUUUAAAUGGGUGAGAAGUCGGGCUUGCUCGACUGAAGCACCGACCNUNGAAUCNAGAGUGCCAAGUGGGCCACUUUUGGUAAGCAGAACUGGCGCUGUGGGAUGAACCAAACGCAGAGUUAAGGUGCCCGAGAGAACGCUCAUCAGAUCCCAUGAAAGGUGUUGGUUGCUAUAGACAGCAGGACGGUGGCCAUGGAAGUCGGAA
This 673-nucleotide ribosomal RNA is filed under the name Facetotecta sp. RNAcentral's name for it is "partial large subunit ribosomal RNA". It matches the Rfam family "Eukaryotic large subunit ribosomal RNA", at positions 620 to 1266 of the family's 3401-position model. The record is from RNAcentral. Lineage: Eukaryota; Metazoa; Arthropoda; Thecostraca.